This 28-nucleotide small RNA is filed under the name Bombyx mori (domestic silkworm). RNAcentral's name for it is "ovarian small RNA-21940". The record is from RNAcentral. Lineage: Eukaryota; Metazoa; Arthropoda; Insecta; Lepidoptera; Bombycidae.
UAGACGGUGCAGAACGGCGGAAGCGUGA